RNAcentral lists this ribosomal RNA (423 nucleotides) under uncultured bacterium. RNAcentral describes it as "bacterial SSU rRNA". It matches the Rfam family "Bacterial small subunit ribosomal RNA", at positions 917 to 1344 of the family's 1533-position model. The record is from RNAcentral.
GGGCCCGCACAAGCGGUGGAGCAUGUGGUUUAAUUCGAUGCAACGCGAAGAACCUUACCAGGGCUUGACAUACUACGAAUCUUUUUGAGAAAAAAGAGUGCCUUCGGGAAUGUAGAUACAGGUGGUGCAUGGCUGUCGUCAGCUCGUGUCGUGAGAUGUUGGGUUAAGUCCCGCAACGAGCGCAACCCUUGUUUUUAGUUACCAACUUGUUGGGUUUUCUAGAAAGACUGCCGGUGACAAAUCGGAGGAAGGUGAGGAUGACGUCAAGUCAGCAUGCCCCUUAUGUCCUGGGCUACACACGUGCUACAAUGGCAGAGACAAAGCGUCGCUAGCUCGCGAGAGUAAGCUAAUCGCAUAAACUCUGCCUAAGUUCAGAUUGUAGGCUGCAACUCGCCUACAUGAAGUUGGAAUCGCUAGUAAUCG